GACGAACGCUGGCGGCGUGCCUAAUACAUGCAAGUCGAACGCACUCUCGUUUAGAUUGAAGGAGCUUGCUCCUGAUUGAUAAACAUUUGAGUGAGUGGCGGACGGGUGAGUAACACGUGGGUAACCUGCCCUAAAGUGGGGGAUAACAUUUGGAAACAGAUGCUAAUACCGCAUAAAACCCAAACACCGCAUGGUGUAGGGUUGAAAGAUGGUUUCGGCUAUCACUUUAGGAUGGACCCGCGGUGCAUUAGUUAGUUGGUGAGGUAAAGGCUCACCAAGACCGUGAUGCAUAGCCGACCUGAGAGGGUAAUCGGCCACACUGGGACUGAGACACGGCCCAGACUCCUACAGGAGGCAGCAGUAGGGAAUCUUCCACAAUGGACGAAAGUCUGAUGGAGCAACGCCGCGUGAGUGAAGAAGGUUUUCGGAUCGUAAAACUCUGUUGUUGGAGAAGAAUGUAUCUGAUAGUAACUGAUCAGGUAGUGACGGUAU
RNAcentral lists this ribosomal RNA (492 nucleotides) under uncultured bacterium. RNAcentral's name for it is "bacterial SSU rRNA". It matches the Rfam family "Bacterial small subunit ribosomal RNA", at positions 28 to 478 of the family's 1533-position model. The record is from RNAcentral.